Molecule: ribosomal RNA, 552 nt
Filed under: fungal sp. TZ-2013
Lineage: Eukaryota; Fungi
Description: eukaryotic LSU rRNA
Rfam family: 5.8S ribosomal RNA (bases 183-336)
Source: RNAcentral
GUGGCUCGGUCUAUACUCCAACCCAUGUGACAUACCUUACGUUGCCUCGGCGAGCUACCCCGCGCCCACCACGCAGCAACCCCGCCUUGCGGGGCCUACUUGGCGAACGCGGGGUAACCCGCCGGCGGCCCACGAAACUCUGUUUAAUACUAUAUCUCUGAACCUAUAACUAAAUAAGUUAAAACUUUCAACAACGGAUCUCUUGGUUCUGGCAUCGAUGAAGAACGCAGCGAAAUGCGAUAAGUAAUGUGAAUUGCAGAAUUCAGUGAAUCAUCGAAUCUUUGAACGCACAUUGCGCCCAUUAGUAUUCUAGUGGGCAUGCCUGUUCGAGCGUCAUUUCAACCCUUAAGCCUCUGUCGCUUAGUGUUGGGAGCCUACAGCGGUAGCUCCCCAAAGUUAGUGGCGGAGCUGGUUCACACUUCAGGCGUAGUAGUAUUAUCUCGCCCGCGAGUCGGACCGGCCUCCUGCCGUAAAACCCCCUAAUUUAUCAAGGUUGACCUCGGAUCAGGUAGGAAUACCCGCUGAACUUAAGCAUAUCAAUAAGCGGAGGAA